UGUCUCUGUGUUACCUGAGCAUCAAAGUAUAUUUAUGUUUGGGUGUCAAAAGAGACAAACAUCAUAUUCCAAAUUUCCACAAGUACAUGUGAGUCCAUCAUAUUGUGUUUACUAAAAUUUGGAGACAGAC
This is a small nucleolar RNA of Diabrotica virgifera virgifera (western corn rootworm), 130 nucleotides long. RefSeq annotates it as small nucleolar RNA SNORA13. NCBI's taxonomy places the organism in Eukaryota, Metazoa, Arthropoda, Insecta, Coleoptera, Chrysomelidae. The record is from RefSeq and is a predicted model, not a curated record. The transcript has a single exon.